Molecule: long non-coding RNA, 4845 nt
Filed under: Salmo salar (Atlantic salmon)
Lineage: Eukaryota; Metazoa; Chordata; Actinopteri; Salmoniformes; Salmonidae
Description: lncRNA (ENSSSAG00000093299.1, ENSSSAG00000101646.1)
Source: RNAcentral
UGUGAAAUGGAACAUGACAAAUUAACUGCAAAGAACACUGGGUAUUGUUUUGGGGCGGAGCUCACUAGAAUAAUACUCAUCCUACACAUUUAUAUUAGACCAUAGGGAGGUAAAGCUAGCUGGACGAGGUCCGUAGGGAGGUAAAGCUAGCUGGACGAGGUCCGUAGGGAGGUAAAGCUAGCUGGACGAGGUCCGUAAGUAGGUAAAGCUAGCUGGAUGAGGGCCAUAGGGAUGUAAAGCUAGCUGGAUGAGGGCCAUAGGGAGGAAAAGCUAGCUGGAUGAGGGCCGUAGGGAGGUAAAGCUAGCUGGAUGAGGGCCGUAGGGAGGUAAAGCUAGCUGGAUGAGGGCCAUAGGGAUGUAAAGCUAGCUGGAUGAGGGCCGUAGGGAGGUAAAGCUAGCUGGAUGAGGGCCAUAGGGAUGUAAAGCUAGCUGGAUGAGGGCCGUAGGGAGGUAAAGCUAGCUGGAUGAGGGCCGUAGGGAGGUAAAGAUAGCUAUAGCAGUGUGUAAGUUACAAGGAUGUUAUGAUGAUAACCAUCUCACAAGAUCCCUGUCAUGUGAACACAUUAUUCCCCUGACACUAAUAAAAUAUUACUUCCCCUUCUGCUGAGGCGAGGUUGUAGGGCCCAGAAUAACCCGCUACCUCAUCAGCACACACAUCCUAACCAUGUGAAAGGUCAGAAGAACACAGGCCAUUGCUCAAUAUGAAACAUCGCUGUUCUAGUGAGAUCCUUUUAACACAGCGAAACUGUACUGAACACUAAACUUAAAAGAGGUACAUUUUGUUUUCAGUGGCCUUUGAUAUACAGUUUAGCAAGGUUGUUUGGGGUCAAUGACAUUUCAAUGAAUGAAGUCAGUGGUGAAGACUCUGUUCCUUCUUGAACAACAGGAGAUGGAAGGCACUGGUUACUCUGAUGUCCCACUACCUCAUCAGCACUCACAUCCUAACCAGCUGAAAAGUCAACCAUGAGGAGAGCUCUAUCAGGCCAUUGGUGAGAGACUGAGAGUCAACAUUCUCGUGGGAUCCUUCUACCACAGGGAGAAUGUGUGUAGUGGGCGUUCCAGUGACCUAUGAUAUUAUUUAGCAGGGUUGGGGACCAAUUCUGUUUCCUUAUAUAAAAGAAAAUACUUCCUGAAUUGACUUGAAUUGAAAUGGAAUCGACUCCCAAACCUUCUGUUUUAAAAUGGUGUGUUUUAGUGACCUUUCCACAUACUGUUUCAUCUGUUUCGUUCUGACAUGACUGCGUACUCAGUUUUGUGCGCUGUAGCCUACCUGCACAGAUCGGGACUGAAGAUGUACAGUCUCUCCGUCUUGGACAGCAGGGGGUGGAAGGCACUGCCGUCUGUACCGUUGAUCAUAUUACUCUGCUCAGACGUCCACAGGCUCAGUUUACUGAAACACAAUGAUUUAUUUCUAAAUGUAACUCAAUUAAAGGAAGAAUCUAAUACCUAUAAAAUACAAAAGCACUGUCUAGCCCAAUGUUUGAUUGUUUAGGUUUAUACGACUUAUCAAACAAUGUAUUAAAUCAAAUCAAAUGAAAUGUUAUUGGUCACGUACAUAUAUUUAGCAGAUGUUAUUGCGGGUGUAUCGAAAUGCUUGUGUUACUAGCUCUAACAGUGCAAUAAUAUCUAACAAUUCACAACAAUACACACAAAUCUAAAAGUAAAAUUAUUAAAGUGACUAGUGUUCCAUAAUUAAAGUGACUAGUGUUCCAUUAUUAAAGUGACUAGUGUUCCAUAAUUAAAGUGACUAGUGUUCCAUUAUUAAAGUGACUAGUGUUCCAUUAUUAAAGUGACUAGUAUUCCAUUAUUAAAGUGACUAGUGUUCCAUUAUUAAAGUGACUAGUGUUCCAUUAUUAAAGUGACUAGUGUUCCAUUAUUAAAGUGACUAGUGUUCCAUAAUUAAAGUGACUAGUGUUCCAUUAUUAAAGUGACUAGUAUUCCAUUAUUAAAGUGACUAGUGUUCCAUUAUUAAAGUGACUAGUGUUCCAUUAUUAAAGUGACUAGUGUUCCAUUAUUAAAGUGACUAGUGUUCCAUUAUUAAAGUAACCAGUAAUUCCAUGUCUAUAUAGGGCAGCAGCCUCUAAGGUGCAGGGUUGAGUAGCUGGGUGGUAAUUGGCUAGUGAUGGCUGUUUAACAGUCUGAUGGCCUUGAGAUACAAUGUUAAUACACAUUUGUGCUUUAUCUUGUUAGGUUCUAUAACAGAGUAAAAAAAAACUCAUGGACAACUAGGGAAAGCUUGAACCAAGUUUAUUCACCCAAUGGGUCAGACAGCUGACAGCUGAACAGACAAAGACAUGUUCCCACCAGCACAAGUAUAUAUACCCCACUUUAGGUGUGGUAUAUAUAAGCAGGAAGUUAACUGAUGUGAACUGUUCCUUCUCAAUGUGACCCGGACCUAACCUCGGGCCCCAUUCCUCACUACUUAUCAGUGACAUAAACCAUGUGAUUGCCUUUCCUUUACUCAGUACAUUCCCCUGGCUCAUAUCCAACCUGAAUUGACCUCACGAUAUUCAAACGUCCUACAGAUAUCCAUUAACUUCUGGUGUAGAAACCAGACUGUGGUCCUUCUCCUUUCCAUAGGAUACCUGCUGUCUAACAAGAACAUGUUCUGACAGAAUGUAAACGUUCUGCAUUCCCCUCUCUCUCUCUCUCCGUAGCAUUGAUCAAGGAUAUUUCACACUUCAAGUUCAGAAGUCUGAAGCCAUCAAUCUAAUCAAAGGGGAAGAAGGAAAAGAUGCUGCCCUGCGUCCAUACUGAUACUCUAGCAGGACGUGAGAAGAUAGCUAACGAGAAGUUCUCAUUGAGUCUUUUCUAACAGGGCCAAAUACCAGAAUGUGACAAUCACACAGCUCUGUGUUCUGGCUAGGCUAGGGGCCUCUGGGGAGUCUCUCUCUCUCUCUCUCUCUGGUGCUGCAGACUCCUGGUCCACAUUCCAAAUGGAACCCUAUUUCCUAUACAGAGCACUACUUUGAAACAGGGCCAACAGGGGCUCUGGUCAAAAGUAGGAGCACUACAUAGAGAAUAGUGUGCCAUUUGGGAUGCAAGCCCUGUCCUCUGUUACUCUCUCGCAGUAUGUAGAAGGUCUUAGGAAACCUGUGGACUGUUCCAUUCCAGUCUUUUACACAAGAGAGUUACUUAAUGAUGGGUUUCUCAUCAUCAAACACAAGUGUUCAUCUAGGAGACGAUGUGCAGGUUACAGUAUGUAAUGUAGCAGACGGAGGAUGUGCAGGUUACAGUAUGUAAUGUAGCAGACAUAGGAUGUGCAGGUACAGUAUGUAAUGUAGCAGACAGUUAGAUGAUGUGCAGGUACAGUAUGUAAUGUAGCAGACAGACAAUGUGCAGGUACAGUAUGUAAUGUAGCAGACAGACGAUGUGCAGGUACAGUAUGUAAUGUAGCAGACAGUUAGAGGAUGUGCAGGUACAGUAUGUAAUGUAGCAGACAGUUAGAGGAUGUGCAGGUACAGUAUGUAAUGUAGCAGACAGUUAGAGGAUGUGCAGGCACAGUAUGUAAUGUAGCAGACAGUUAGAGGAUGUGCAGGUACAGUAUGUAAUGUAGCAGACAGACGAUGUGCAGGUACAGUAUGUAAUGUAGCAGACAGAUGAUGUGCAGGUACAGUAUGUACUGUAGCAGACAGAGGAUGUGCAGGUUACAGUAUGUAAUGUAGCAGACAGAGGAUGUGCAGGUACAGUAUGUAAUGUAGCAGACAGUUAGAGGAUGUGCAGGUUACAGUAUGUAAUGUAGCAGACAGUUAGAGGAUGUGCAGGUACAGUAUGUAAUGUAGCAGACAGACGAUGUGCAGGUACAGUAUGUAAUGUAGCAGACAGACGAUGUGCAGGCACAGUAUGUAAUGUAGCAGACAGAGGAUGUGCAGGUACAGUAUGUACUGUAGCAGACAGUUAGAGGAUGUGCAGGUUACAGUAUGUAAUGUAGCAGACAGAGGAUGUGCAGGUACAGUAUGUAAUGUAGCAGACAGACGAUGUGCAGGUACAGUAUGUAAUGUAGCAUACAGACGAUGUGCAGGUUACAGUAUGUAAUGUAGCAGACAGUUAGACGAUGUGCAGGUACAGUAUGUAAUGUAGCAGACAGUUCGAGGAUGUGCAGGUACAGUAUGUAAUGUAGCAGACAGAGGAUGUGCAGGUACAGUAUGUAAUGUAGCAGACAGAUGAUGUGCAGGUACAGUAUGUAAUGUAGCAGACAGAGGAUGUGCAGGUACAGUAUGUAAUGUAGCAGACAGUUAGAGGAUGUGCAGGUACAGUAUGUAAUGUAGCAGACAGAUGAUGUGCAGGUACAGUAUGUAAUGUAGCAGACAGAUGAUGUGCAGGUACAGUAUGUAAUGUAGCAGACAGUUAGAGGAUGUGCAGGUACAGUAUGUAAUGUAGCAGACUGUUACAACACAGCACUAUCUUUUGGAGUCACUUUCUUAUGAGGAUCCAGCACUCCACUUUUUUUUGGGGAAGAAUAAUCUGUGAGUGAGUAUCACGUUGUCUAUUAUCUAAGUUACAACACAGAAACAUGUGUGUCAUCGUGGGCCAAUAUGUUUCGGUACCUUUCCCCUUUAAACGUGGCUACCCUGCCGUAGUCCAUGAAGUCCGCCUCCCCGGUAUGAUAAACAAAUUCACCAUCGUUGCUUCCAUUUUUCUACAGAGUGGGAAAAUAAUGAAAAUCAUUUUAAAGUGUAUAUUUUAUUUUCUCAUAUUAUUAUUUUAUCACCGCACAGGACUUUAGGUGGCCACGGCAACCCCCAGCAGAUACAACAGGUUGCAGUGACCAUUGUAAAUCCAACGUCUCCUAGGCUACAGUACCCAAAUACUUAUUUACGGAACUUAGUGAGGAACUGAGUAGGU